Molecule: long non-coding RNA, 283 nt
Filed under: Fragaria vesca (wild strawberry)
Lineage: Eukaryota; Viridiplantae; Streptophyta; Magnoliopsida; Rosales; Rosaceae
Description: long non-coding RNA (FVES_LNC005606)
Source: RNAcentral
UCGCGGCUGUGCAGGAGAAGGUCAUCAUAGGGGUCCCUCCUGCCCUCAACCUGACUAAUCUGGGAGUCCCAUUUCAUCUGCGAAUUGUGGCGGUCAAAGGUCCAGAACCCAUAUGGCCGGAGAGGUAAGGCCCACAUCUCCUUUGUCUUCUCACAUCGAUCCUUGGUCGCAUACACAUGCUCCCUGAAUUUCCUAUCUCGCUCCUUAGGGUCCUCCAUUAGCUUCAGUACCAGAUUCUCAGCAAACUCCAUUAUAAACCCCAUCUUGCACCUCUCUCCUUCCC